GGCGGACGGGUGAGUAACGCGUAAAGAACUUGCCCUUUAGACUGGGAUAACAGAGGGAAACUUCUGAUAAUACUGGAUAAGUUAGUAUAUCGCAUGAUAUGCAAAUGAAAGCUACGGCACUAAAGGAGAGCUUUGCGUCCUAUUAGCUAGUUGGUAAGGUAAGAGCUUACCAAGGCGAUGAUAGGUAGCCGGCCUGAGAGGGUGGACGGCCACAAGGGGACUGAGAUACGGCCCUUACUCCUACGGGAGGCAGCAGAG
RNAcentral lists this ribosomal RNA (258 nucleotides) under uncultured Leptotrichia sp. RNAcentral describes it as "partial 16S ribosomal RNA". It matches the Rfam family "Bacterial small subunit ribosomal RNA", at positions 97 to 354 of the family's 1533-position model. Lineage: Bacteria; Fusobacteriati; Fusobacteriota; Fusobacteriia; Fusobacteriales; Leptotrichiaceae. The record is from RNAcentral.